AGUCGAACGGGCACUUCGGUGCUAGUGGCAGACGGGUGAGUAACACGUGGGAACGUACCUUUCGGUUCGGAAUAAUUCAGGGAAACUUGGACUAAUACCGGAUAAGCCCUUCGGGGGAAAGAUUUAUCGCCGAUAGAUCGGCCCGCGUCUGAUUAGCUAGUUGGUGAGGUAAUGGCUCACCAAGGCGACGAUCAGUAGCUGGUCUGAGAGGAUGAUCAGCCACAUUGGGACUGAGACACGGCCCAAACUCCUACGGGAGGCAGCAGUGGGGAAUAUUGGACAAUGGGCGAAAGCCUGAUCCAGCCAUGCCGCGUGAGUGAUGAAGGCCUUAGGGUUGUAAAGCUCUUUUGUCCGGGAAGAUAAUGACUGUACCGGAAGAAUAAGCCCCGGCU
Molecule: ribosomal RNA, 392 nt
Filed under: Bradyrhizobium sp. B2L2
Lineage: Bacteria; Pseudomonadati; Pseudomonadota; Alphaproteobacteria; Hyphomicrobiales; Nitrobacteraceae
Also listed under: 1 other name
Description: bacterial SSU rRNA
Rfam family: Bacterial small subunit ribosomal RNA
Source: RNAcentral